Molecule: ribosomal RNA, 405 nt
Filed under: uncultured bacterium
Lineage: Bacteria
Description: bacterial SSU rRNA
Rfam family: Archaeal small subunit ribosomal RNA
Source: RNAcentral
GCGAGAAAACUUUGCAAUGUGCGAAAGCACGACAAGGUUAAUCCGAGUGGUUUCUGCUAAAGAAACCUUUUGUCAGUCCUAGAAACACUAACGAAUAAGGGGUGGGCAAGUUCUGGUGUCAGCCGCCGCGGUAAAACCAGCACCUCAAGUGGUCAGGAUGAUUAUUGGGCCUAAAGCAUCCGUAGCUCGUUUUGUAAGUUUUCGGUUAAAUCCAUGCGCUUAACGUAUGGGCUGCCGGGAAUACUGCAUAACUAGGAAGUGGGAGAGGUAGACGGUACUCGGUAGGAAGGGGUAAAAUCCUUUGAUCUAUUGAUGACCACCUGUGGCGAAGGCGGUCUACCAGAACACGUUCGACGGUGAGGGAUGAAAGCUGGGGGAGCAAACCGGGAUUAGAUACCCCCGUAG